RNAcentral lists this ribosomal RNA (449 nucleotides) under uncultured bacterium. Its description in RNAcentral is "partial 16S ribosomal RNA". It matches the Rfam family "Bacterial small subunit ribosomal RNA", at positions 29 to 523 of the family's 1533-position model. The record is from RNAcentral.
AACGAACGCUGGCGGCAUGCCUAACACAUGCAAGUCGAACGAGACCUUCGGGUCUAGUGGCGCACGGGUGCGUAACGCGUGGGAAUCUACCCUUGGGUUCGGAAUAACAGUUAGAAAUGACUGCUAAUACCGGAUGAUGACGUAAGUCCAAAGAUUUAUCGCCCAAGGAUGAGCCCGCGUAAGAUUAGCUUGUUGGUGGGGUAAUGGCCUACCAAGGCGACGAUCUUUAGCUGGUCUGAGAGGAUGAUCAGCCACACUGGGACUGAGACACGGACCAGACUGCUACGGGAGGCAGCAGUGGGGAAUAUUGGACAAGGGGCGAAAGCCUGAUCCAGCAAUGCCGGGUGAGUGAUGAAGGCCUUAGGGUUGUAAAGCUCUUUUACCAGGGAUGAUAAUGACAGUACCUGGAGAAUAAGCGCCGGAUAACUCCGUGCCAGCAGCCGCCGUAA